ACCACAUCACAUUGAAACACCAGUUCUCUUAUAAUCACUGAAGUUAAGCAAUGUUGAGCCUGGUCAGUACCUAGAUGGUUGACUGUUUAGGAAUACCUGAUGCUGUAA
Molecule: non-coding RNA, 108 nt
Organism: Acanthosepion pharaonis
Lineage: Eukaryota; Metazoa; Mollusca; Cephalopoda; Sepiida; Sepiidae
Source: the annotation of a GenBank genome assembly